This 416-nucleotide ribosomal RNA is filed under the name uncultured delta proteobacterium. RNAcentral's name for it is "bacterial SSU rRNA". It matches the Rfam family "Bacterial small subunit ribosomal RNA", at positions 125 to 523 of the family's 1533-position model. Lineage: Bacteria; Deltaproteobacteria. The record is from RNAcentral.
UCUGCCCUGAAGAGGGGGAUAACGUUCCGAAAGGAGCGCUAAUACCGCAUAAAGCCGAGAUGGGUUCGCCUGUUUCGGACAAAGGCUGGGAUCGCAAGACCAGUCGCUUUGGGAGGAGUCUGCGGCCCAUCAGCUAGUUGGUAAGGUAAUGGCUUACCAAGGCAAGACGGUAGCUGGUCUGAGAGGAUGAUCAGCCACACUGGUACUGGAACACGGACCAGACUCCUACGGGAGGCAGCAGUGGGGAAUCUUGGUCAAUGGGCGCAAGCCUGAACCAGCGACGCCGCGUGAGUGAUGAAGGCCUUCGGGUUGUAAAGCUCUGUGGGGAGGGACGAAAGACUGAGGUCUAAUAGGCUUCAGGUUGACGGUACCUCCUUAGCAAGCACCGGCUAACUCUGUGCCAGCAGCCGCGGUAA